This 352-nucleotide long non-coding RNA is filed under the name Homo sapiens (human). RNAcentral describes it as "HSALNT0227863". Lineage: Eukaryota; Metazoa; Chordata; Mammalia; Primates; Hominidae. The record is from RNAcentral.
UGCCACCUUUGCUUCUCCUGGCCCUCUGCCAUGAUUAUGAGGCCUCCCCAGCCAUGCGGGACGGAUGAAUAAGUGGAAGCCACCAGAACCUGGAUUUCAACCUGCAGGAAUUACCUUGUAGGAUAUAGAGCUCCCAGGAUGGAAUGGGCUGUCUCAGAGGAACUGAAUGCUGAUUCACUCAACAAAUAUUUUUGAGCUAUGGAGCAACCCCCAAACUAGGGAACACAAUUAUCAAUGUCCAAGAUGGACUUCUUCCAUCACCUGGGUACCUGUUUUGAUUGCUGUAACUUUUGAAAUCAGAAAACUCACGCUACCUGACUUCAAACUAUACUACAAGGCUACAGUAACCAAA